ACUACGGGAGGCAGCAGUGGGGGAUAUUGCACAAUGGGGGGAACCCUGAUGCAGCGACGCCGCGUGGGUGAAGAAGCGCCUCGGCGCGUAAAGCCCUGUCAGCAGGGAAGAAAAUGACGGUACCUGAAGAAGAAGCCCCGGCUAACUACGUGCCAGCAGCCGCGGUAAUACGGCGGGGGCAAGCGUUAUCCGGAGUGACUGGGCGUAAAGGGGGCGCAGGCGGGCAUGCAAGCCAGGUGUGAAAGCCCGGGGCCCAACCCCGGGACUGCUCUUGAAACUGCGUGGCUGGAGUGCAGGAGGGGCAGGCGGAAUUCUUGGUGUAGCGGUGAAAUGCGUAGAUAUCAGGAGGAACACCGGUGGCGAAGGCGGCCUGCUGGACUGCAACUGACGUUGAGGCCCGAAAGCGUGGGGAGCAAACAGGAUUAGAUACCCUAGUAGUC
This 440-nucleotide ribosomal RNA is filed under the name uncultured bacterium. Its description in RNAcentral is "partial 16S ribosomal RNA". It matches the Rfam family "Bacterial small subunit ribosomal RNA", at positions 338 to 795 of the family's 1533-position model. The record is from RNAcentral.